UAUAUUUGUGGUCUUCCAUUACAUAUCAAUUGCAUGGAGACUAAAUUACCGAUGUCACCUCUUGGACCUGCAGAUUGUUGUGAAGAAGCAGAUAAUGGUUUCCCAGAUAUCAAGUCCUUCUAUAUUUCCUUUCUUGUGGCAUAUGCAAAUAUGGUGCUUGUAAUGGUUCUAGUCCACUGUGAUACAAAAAUGAGUGUGUAUCAAGAGAGUCAAGCCAACACAAGAGUAACAAGAUGAACAACAACAAUGCUAGUGAAUCGAAAUACGCCACUCACGGCUUCACUAGACUUGAAAGUUUACAAAAAAUGACAAGAUGAUAGAGACAACAAGAUUACAAAGUAAAAGAUAGUAACUU
This 355-nucleotide long non-coding RNA is filed under the name Capsicum annuum. RNAcentral describes it as "long non-coding RNA (CANN_LNC011122)". Lineage: Eukaryota; Viridiplantae; Streptophyta; Magnoliopsida; Solanales; Solanaceae. The record is from RNAcentral.